AGUGAACGCUGGCGGUAGGCCUAACACAUGCAAGUCGAACGGCAGCACAGUAAGUGCUUGCUCUUACGGGUGGCGAGUGGCGGACGGGUGCGGAAUACAUCGGAAUCUACUUUUUCGUUGGGGAUAACGUAGGGAAACUUACGCUAAUACCGCAUACGACCUCCGGGUGAAAGCAGGGGAUCUUCGGACCUUGUGCGAUUGAAUGAGCCUAUGUCGGCUUCGCUAGUUGGCGGGGUAAAGGGCCACCAAGGCCACGAUCCGUAGCUGGUCUGACCGGAUGAUCAGCCACACGGGAACUGAGACACGGUCCAGACUCCUGCGGGAGGCAGCAGUGGAGAAUAUUGCGCAAGGGGGGAAAGCCGGAUACAGCAAAACCGGGUGAGGGAAGAAGGCGCUCGGGUUGUAAAGCCAUGUUGUUGGGAGAGAAGAACAGCAGGUUAAUACCCCGCGGUACUGACGGUACCCAAAGAAUAAGCACCGGCUAACUUCGUG
Molecule: ribosomal RNA, 492 nt
Filed under: uncultured bacterium
Lineage: Bacteria
Description: partial 16S ribosomal RNA
Rfam family: Bacterial small subunit ribosomal RNA
Source: RNAcentral